AGCGAUAAAAGUUGGCGACCCUCUUUUUAAAAUAAAGGGAGCUACUGCAAACGAAACAGCUUUGGAUCGAUUUUUGGUGAAGCAGGCCUGUUCCGUAUGCUGAAGUUUUUGACGCAUUCUUGAUCUAUUGGUAACUCAUGAAUCCCAUCGUAAUAAACAGGCUUCAGCGAAAGCUGGGCUACACUUUUCAAC
This is a non-coding RNA of Serratia sp. M24T3, 192 nucleotides long. NCBI's taxonomy places the organism in Bacteria, Pseudomonadati, Pseudomonadota, Gammaproteobacteria, Enterobacterales, Yersiniaceae. The record is from Rfam.